CUGAGUUAAAAGCAAAAGGGAUACAAGGUCAUGUUUAAAAGGUCAUGCAUAAAAGGAUUGGAAAGGAUACCAAGAUGAUGCCUUAAGUUUUAGCUCUCAUAUUUUUCAGAUUCUGUACUGCAUUACUAUGCACUCUGAAAGAGUGUUAACAAGUCCUCUUUGCAGUUUAGUUAGACUAAAAGAUUCUUUUCCAGCCCAAGAACCAAAGACACUGUUGCAGCUUCAGGCCCAAAAAGUACAAACAGCAGUGAAGUGAGGAGAGCAGUCUGGGAGGAUGAGACUUCAUAACCUGAAGCUGAGUUUGGGCAAUUAAUCCCAGUAUGGAAAUGGACCAAAACUUAUAAAAGUGUGAAAACUCGUGACCCAUUGUCCAUCUUGGGGGAAGCCUUGGCCAGGCUCUUGCACUGCCCCAGGUGUAUCCUUUGAAGGCCUUUCUAAUAAAUACCUACUUUAUUCCUUUAACUCUGUCCAGCCUCUGUUCUAGGUGGCCUUUCAAGGCAUCCAAGAGUACCCAGCCUUCAGCCAGAGGCCUGAAGUUCUUCCUAGCUCAAGGUUUUAAGCAAAAAGAAGAAAGGUAACAUAAUCCAAGGAAUCCAGAAGGCGUUGGAGAGUCACCCCUAAUUUGUGAAAACAUAUGGCUUAUUCCACCCUUCCACACUGAGAAUUCAUUCGAGGCAUGCUUGCCUGCAGUCUUGUGUUCACCAUCUGGAUCAACCUUCUGCAAGUCGAGGAAUGCUGUGCAGGGUUUUGCGUUGGCUGCAGUCGGCUGUGUCCUCCAUCACCCAGCUGCUCCUUCACACCACUGAGCAUCCCAGGGAAUCACCCAGCACAGCCUGAGCUGCAGGCUGGGACAGAGAGAGAGAGAGCUUUUGCUCAGCCCCAUGUAAUUUUGCAGGAAGAGGUUAGUAGCUUGCAGGCACAUCUUGGUGCUGAAGAAAAUUUCAGUCUUCACCCAUGGUUUGAAUGGAGACAGCAAUAUCUGAC
This 984-nucleotide long non-coding RNA is filed under the name Cyanistes caeruleus (blue tit). Its description in RNAcentral is "lncRNA (ENSCCEG00000011568.1)". The record is from RNAcentral. Lineage: Eukaryota; Metazoa; Chordata; Aves; Passeriformes; Paridae.